AUUUUCUGCAAGCAUCUUUGGACUCGUCUGACAAUUUAUCUGAGCGUAGAAAUGCAUUAGAGGGUAAUAUAAGUCCAUACUUUAUGAAGAGUAUGACGCCUGCAUUUCGCCAGAAAGAUGGGGAACUUGCGUCUUAUAUGUCUCGACUGGCAUCUAUGGAAGCCAUCCGUGACUCCCUUGCUGAGGAGUUGGUUAAAAUGACUGCAGAGUGUGAAAAGCUACGUUCAGAAGCUUCCAUGCUGCCUGGCAUCCGAGCAGAGCUAGAUGCACUUAGGAGGAGACACUCGGCAG
Molecule: unclassified non-coding RNA, 291 nt
Filed under: Hevea brasiliensis (rubber tree)
Lineage: Eukaryota; Viridiplantae; Streptophyta; Magnoliopsida; Malpighiales; Euphorbiaceae
Source: RNAcentral